GGUCGGUUAGCUCAGUCGGUAGAGCAUCGCAAUAACAUUCACUCCAAGUUUCGGAGCAAUAAUUACUGCGAAGGCCAUAGGUUCAAGCCCUAUACUGACCA
This is a non-coding RNA of Xylariaceae sp. FL1019, 101 nucleotides long. Lineage: Eukaryota; Fungi; Ascomycota; Sordariomycetes; Xylariales; Xylariaceae. The record is from the annotation of a GenBank genome assembly.